AUGUAUGCUUGGAAGCUGUUCUCAUUA
RNAcentral lists this ribosomal RNA (27 nucleotides) under Choleoeimeria sp. JRB-2016. Its description in RNAcentral is "large subunit ribosomal RNA". RNAcentral also lists the same sequence under 1 other name. The record is from RNAcentral. Lineage: Eukaryota; Apicomplexa; Conoidasida; Eucoccidiorida; Eimeriidae.